RNAcentral lists this ribosomal RNA (761 nucleotides) under Prevotella melaninogenica. RNAcentral's name for it is "bacterial SSU rRNA". It matches the Rfam family "Bacterial small subunit ribosomal RNA", at positions 28 to 776 of the family's 1533-position model. Lineage: Bacteria; Pseudomonadati; Bacteroidota; Bacteroidia; Bacteroidales; Prevotellaceae. The record is from RNAcentral.
GAUGAACGCUAGCUACAGGCUUAACACAUGCAAGUCGAGGGGAAACGGCAUUGAGUGCUUGCACUCUUUGGACGUCGACCGGCGCACGGGUGAGUAACGCGUAUCCAACCUUCCCAUUACUGUGGGAUAACCUGCCGAAAGGCAGACUAAUACCGCAUAGUCUUCGAUGACGGCAUCAGAUUUGAAGUAAAGAUUUAUCGGUAAUGGAUGGGGAUGCGUCCGAUUAGCUUGUUGGCGGGGUAACGGCCCACCAAGGCUACGAUCAGUAGGGGUUCUGAGAGGAAGGUCCCCCACAUUGGAACUGAGACACGGUCCAAACUCCUACGGGAGGCAGCAGUGAGGAAUAUUGGUCAAUGGACGGAAGUCUGAACCAGCCAAGUAGCGUGCAGGAUGACGGCCCUAUGGGUUGUAAACUGCUUUUGUAUGGGGAUAAAGUUAGGGACGUGUCCCUAUUUGCAGGUACCAUACGAAUAAGGACCGGCUAAUUCCGUGCCAGCAGCCGCGGUAAUACGGAAGGUCCAGGCGUUAUCCGGAUUUAUUGGGUUUAAAGGGAGCGUAGGCUGGAGAUUAAGUGUGUUGUGAAAUGUAGACGCUCAACGUCUGAAUUGCAGCGCAUACUGGUUUCCUUGAGUACGCACAACGUUAGCGGAAUUCGUCGUGUAGCGGUGAAAUGCUUAGAUAUGACGAAGAACUCCGAUUGCGAAGGCAGCUGACGGGAGCGCAACUGACGCUUAAGCUCGAAGGUGCGGGUAUCAAACAGG